RNAcentral lists this ribosomal RNA (497 nucleotides) under uncultured bacterium. RNAcentral describes it as "partial 16S ribosomal RNA". It matches the Rfam family "Bacterial small subunit ribosomal RNA", at positions 28 to 507 of the family's 1533-position model. The record is from RNAcentral.
GAUGAACGCUGGCGGCGUGCCUAACACAUGCAAGUCGAGCGAACAACCGAGGAGCUUGCUCCUCCGGCAUUAGUGGCGGACGGGUGAGUAACACGUGGGUAACCUGCCUAUAACACUGGGAUAACCGCGGGAAACCGGAUCUAAUACCGGAUAAUACAUGGAACCGCAUGCUCCAAUAGUGAAAGACGCUUUUGCUCUCACUUAUAUAUGGAUCCGCGCCGCGUUUGCUAGUUUGGAGGGCAACGGGUUACCAAGCCAAUGACGCGUAGCGUACCUCAACGGGGGGUCGGCCACCCGGGAACUUAGACACGGUCCAGACUACUGAGGGAGGCAGCAGUAGGGAAUCUUCCGCAAUGGGGGAGAGCCUUACGGAGCAACGCCGCGUGAGUGAUGAAGGUGUUCGGAUCGUAAAGCUCUGUUAUUAGGGAAGAACCAAUGUGUAAGUAGCUGUGCACGUCUUGACGGUACCUGAUCAAAAAGCCCCGGCUAACUACGUG